AUGCAAGUCGAACGGUAACAUUUCUAGCUUGCUAGAAGAUGACGAGUGGCGGACGGGUGAGUAAUGCUUGGGAACUUGCCUUUGCGAGGGGGAUAACAGUUGGAAACGACUGCUAAUACCGCAUAAUGUCUUCGGACCAAACGGGGCUUUUAGCUCCGGCGCAAAGAGAGGCCCAAGUGAGAUUAGCUAGUUGGUAAGGUAACGGCUUACCAAGGCGACGAUCUCUAGCUGUUCUGAGAGGAAGAUCAGCCACACUGGGACUGAGACACGGCCCAGACUCCUACGGGAGGCAGCAGUGGGGAAUAUUGCACAAUGGGGGAAACCCUGAUGCAGCCAUGCCGCGUGUGUGAAGAAGGCCUUCGGGUUGUAAAGCACUUUCAGUUGUGAGGAAAAGUUAGUAGUUAAUACCUGCUAGCCGUGACGUUNACAACAGAAGAAGCACCGGCUAACUCCGUGCCAGCAGCCGCGGUAAUACGGAGGGUGCGAGCGUUAAUCGGAAUUACUGGGCGUANAGCGCACGCAGGCGGUUUGUUAAGCUAGAUG
RNAcentral lists this ribosomal RNA (543 nucleotides) under uncultured bacterium. RNAcentral describes it as "bacterial SSU rRNA". It matches the Rfam family "Bacterial small subunit ribosomal RNA", at positions 55 to 594 of the family's 1533-position model. The record is from RNAcentral.